Molecule: ribosomal RNA, 388 nt
Filed under: uncultured bacterium
Lineage: Bacteria
Description: bacterial SSU rRNA
Rfam family: Bacterial small subunit ribosomal RNA
Source: RNAcentral
AUUGAACGCUGGCGGCAUGCCUUACACAUGCAAGUCGAACGGCAGCGGACCUUCGGGUGCCGGCGAGUGGCGAACGGGUGAGUAAUAUAUCGGAACGUACCUUUCAGUGGGGGAUAACGUAGCGAAAGUUACGCUAAUACCGCAUAUUCUGUGAGCAGGAAAGCAGGGGAUCGCAAGACCUUGCGCUGAUUGAGCGGCCGAUAUCAGAUUAGCUAGUUGGUGAGGUAAAGGCUCACCAAGGCGACGAUCUGUAGCGGGUCUGAGAGGAUGAUCCGCCAUACUGGAACUGAGACACGGUCCAGACUCCUACGGGAGGCAGCAGUGGGGAAUUUUGGACAAUGGGCGCAAGCCUGAUCCAGCCAUGCCGCGUGAGUGAAGAAGGCCUCGG